Long non-coding RNA from Cyprinus carpio carpio, 148 nucleotides. The record is from Ensembl. NCBI's taxonomy places the organism in Eukaryota, Metazoa, Chordata, Actinopteri, Cypriniformes, Cyprinidae.
GAUUGCUUGUGCAGCAGAUGUAAUCAGUUCUGACUAAAGAAAGCCAUAUGGGUUUGGAAUGAUGAGGGCUGUGUAUGGAGAUGGCGCCGCCUCCGCAGUGCAUUGACAUGCAAACCAGAUCCCACUAGAGACAUGAAGAGAAGUAUUA